UACAGUCUACUACACAGUUAAUAUAUCUAAAAAAAUAGAUGGCAGCAUAUAUGAGUAUACUGCAACGCCAUCUCUGUUACAAUGUAAGCAUUAUUUCAUGUUAUGGUCCUAAUGGUUGUAAAAGAGCCCAAUAGGUAGCUAUAGUAGAGCUGUAUUCAAAUAUUAAGUAAUUAUAUGUUUACAUUUUUAAUAAAGCAUAUAAGAAAAAAAUACACUUCUUAGCAAAAUUUUAUUAUUUGACAAUUAGGAUUAAUAUAAAUAUAUCUUAAUGAUUUCACAGAAUUAAAAGAAAUAUAAUAAAUAAAAUUAAUAGAAAUGAAAUAAGAAACUAAAUAUAACUUCAGUCAACUAAUACCUAUACGUUUUAUCUUGAAUUAUAUAGGUACAAAAAGGUCAUUGGUUAUCAAAAUGAAUCUUCGAGCCAUUUUAUUUAUUUGUUCAGUUCAGAGGCAAACAGGAAAAUAAGGAAAUAACAGUGUCGAAUUAAUAAGCUUAAUUAAGUUAUUUUUUCGAAAAUCUACAAAAUGAAGUGUAUUUUAUUAUUGACGUGUAGUUUGUUCUUUGUUCUAAAUUGUGAACAGUCAAAUGGAGGAAUAGUGACUGAAUUAAUGGAUCACGUAGGUAAAAAAGCAGAGAAAGUAACAAACAGUAUUACUGGACUUACAGAUUUAUUGUUAUUAAAAAAGAAAAGUAAGGAUCAAGUUUCUACUUCAACCCAUAUACAAGAGACAAAUUAUGCUGAAGUUACGACAGAGAGAGUAAAAAUCAAUAAUUAUCAUAAUGACUCUAAAGAAAAAGAAUACAAUAUUGAUGUCAGAUUUUCUUCUGAUGACUCAGAUAGUGAUAAUAAAAUAUAUUUUCCCACUAAAUAAUAGUAAUAAAUUGCAAAAUGUGAGUACCAGUGUAAACUAGAGGACGAUUUAUGGUAAAAUUAUUGUUAGGUAUAUAUUUUUAAAUAAUUGUAGUUUUCGUAUAUUAACAAUUUUCUACUAAAGGAAAUUUAUAUCUAUCAUUUUAAUGGACAAGUAUGUUAUGUAAUUACUAAACCUAUGAAUAAGUAAUAAUAACAUUUUUCAAAAUGAUCUAAAGUUGUUUUAAUUUUAAUUAUUAAGCAGAUAAUAUCAAGCUAUACAUCGCUAUAUUGAGUUAAUCAAUUUUCUAUAUUAUUAAAUAGUGUUUAUUAUACUUGCUUUAUUAUUAAACAUGCAAUUUUUUUUAUAUUUCAAAAUUAAAUAUAUAAGGGGUAACAUCAUUAUAUUUCCAUUAUCCUAAUUAUAUAAAGAGUAUAUAGGUAAUAUAAUACAUAUUUAGUUUAUUGAGGUCCAAAUAAAUAUAUGAAUGGUACUAUAAGUAUAUUUCUUACAUGUAAAGCUAAAUUAACUAAUAUAGUAUUUAAUUAUAACUAACAAAAUUUUUGUAAAUAGAUUUUACUUUCGUAAAUAUUUACUUAACUAUAUUAUUAUAGAAUUUUUUUUUAUCAAAUAUUAUAUAUUACACGUUGUCUAAAUUUAAGUAAAUGAAUUGUCAAUUUGUGAAUAUUUUGAUAUAUUUUCAAUAACUAGGUGGCGCUACUUGUUAUUGAAAACUAAGUUGUAUAAAUGUAAUUAUGUAAAAUACUUCAAAAAUAUAUUAUAGUGACUUAAAAUAACAGUAAAAUAGAUCUUUUGACUUACUGCUUAUUUUUUUAUGAAUGAUAAUGGAAUAGUAACCGCGCAUACACUAUCAGUAUACACUGGCGGGGCACCGGUUAAGGAUGAAAACCAAAACAAGUGAAUUGGCCUAUAGUGAUGAAUUCACUAAGAAUUAGCCACGAUGGUUUCCAGGGAGAACCGCAUUGAGGAACCGCUAGUCCCUCUAUUACUGAAAACCCCUUUUUCCCCCCACUGUCUAUGUUAUUUGAGUAUUUGAAAGUUUUCAACAAAUGUAAUAUUCUAUGUAUUUAUAUUACCAAAAUAGGUAGAUUUAUUUUUUGAGGAUUAAUGAAAAUAAUAUGAGAAUGUCUUCCUGUUAAUUGAUAAUAUAUGUUAUUGUUUUGUUAAGUAUUUGUACCAGAUAUAAAAAGAAAUUAAAUACAUACGAGUACAUACCAUUAUAUAAUAAUUCCUUCUUUGUGAUUUAUCGUAAAAUUUUAAAAAAAGAUCAGACAUUUUACUACUAAAUUACCUACUUACUUCCAAAUAACUCUACUGAAAGUAUUAUCACAGUGAAUUGAUGUAUGUUUAAGUCACCAGUCGCCUUUAGGGUAAUACACGAUUUCAUAUGCAAACAGUUACCUGCUCUGAUAAAUUACCCUAUUUUUUAAGAUUUGACGUGAAUGAUAGGGAUUUCUGUUCUAACCCGGCUUACUCUUUCUACGUAAAAACUAUAUCUACAUAUAUACAGUUAUGUAAUGUAAAUUUCAAGUAGGUAUACAUUCCAAAAUUACCAAACAUUGUAGUAUAUUGUCGGAGGUUGAUGGCUAAGGUUGUAGAACUACUGGUAAUAGAAAUAAUAGUUAAUCUUUGAGUAUUGGCAGUCGCACCCAUACUAAUGGUAAUCAAUAAUAAUUCUAAUCAACUAACCAAGGGGGAAAGGGAUUGUUAGUAAUAGAGACUGAGAAUCCCAGGUCGACCUCCACGCGGUUCUCCCUGGAAACUAUCAUGGUUAAUUCCUGAUGAAUUCAUCACGAUGGGCUUGUUUUCAUUCUCAUCUAUCACCCUUUACUGGUGCUCCGCAAGCGUAUACCGUUAGCGCAGCGCAUACCAUUUUCACCCAUAAAAAAAGAAAAAUCAACUAACCAGCGAUACGGACGUCCGCAAAACACAUCAGUUUUGUAAAAUAUUGUAGUAGCUAUUAAGUGUCAACUAGCCUUCUAAUAUUAUAGAUCAAACUUUGUUUGAUAUCCAUUACUCAAUAAUAUUUUAACGGCUAGUCGGUAUUAAAUAAAUUCCAAUACAUAAAUAGACCACAUUCUAUAAAGGUUUACUUUUGUCCUAAUAGACGCAGACACCGCCGCGAGAUCUGACUUAUUUCAGUGAAGUAGAUAUUUUACUGUUCUGUUGAUGAUAUAUAGAAAGAAGAAAUUAAUAAACGGAUAAUAAAUAAUUCGUAACCCUUGUGGCUUAUUUCUGACAAUGUUUCUGCCAUGAAUUUAUAAAAAUAAAAACAAUUAAUAAAGGUAAUAUAUACAUAGGUAUGAGGAAGGCCUUUGUCCAGCAAUGGACGGACAAAGGCUACAAUGAUGAUGAUGAUGUACAUAGGUAAUAGGUGCGGGUAAUUCGGUUAAUUUUUUUUUUACAACACAGGGGGCAAACGAGCAUGCGGCUCAUCUGAUAGUAAGUGACUACCGCCGCUCAUGAACGUCCACAACACCAACGGCAUUGCAGGUGUGCUAUCGACCUUUUAAAAGGGAAUAUGCUCUUUUCUUGAAGGUUAUGUUAUCGUAUUGGUUCGGAAAUACUGCUAAUGGAAGUUGAUUCCAAAGAGUGGUUGUGCGUGAAAGAAAGUGCCUUGAAAAAGGCACGGUGGAGGACCGCCAUUCGUCCAGAUGGUUGGGAUGAAAUUUUAGUUUUUGGCGGGUUGUACGAUGGUGAAAAUCAGCAGCAGGUAUCAAUCCGAACAAUUCCUCAGAGUACUCUCCACGAUAAAUUCAGUAGAAGAUGCACAGAGAUGCAACAUCUCUACGCAGUUUCAAUGGGUCGAGUCGGACAGUAAGGCGCCGAUCGUCCACAAUUCGAGCUGCCAGACUUUGAAUAUGGUCUAACGGAAGGAGUUGGUAAUGUGGCGCUCCUGCCCACAGGUCGAUUGGCUGAGACGUUAAGACGCCAAAAUAAAACAAACAUACCGAUAUUUGUACCGUUGUUACUGACCGCAGUAACCAAAGUUUCCCAUUAAAUAGCAAGAUCAGCGGAGAGCACAAGCGAACGAACAGUAUAUGAAGGGAAGCAGACAAAAACACAAUAAAGUGUUUAUGUUCUCUAUAAAAUCUCCUCAAGCCGAGAACUCAUAUUUUAUGUGAAGCCGCUGAACCCAAUUACACAUGAAUGGUUCGUCAUGAUCAGAGAUUUUUUGGGGCCCAAUAAAAACUUACUGCAAGAUUUAUAUCCAUGCUAGGAGGCAAGCGUCUGUAUUCUAAUUGAUCUUAUUAGUGUUGCAACUUGUUAUUAAAUUACGAAGUAAAUGAGAAUUUACUGAA
Molecule: long non-coding RNA, 4174 nt
Organism: Galleria mellonella (greater wax moth)
Lineage: Eukaryota; Metazoa; Arthropoda; Insecta; Lepidoptera; Pyralidae
Exons: 3
Source: RefSeq, a predicted model, not a curated record